CCUACGGGUGGCAGCAGUGAGGAAUAUUGGUCAAUGGGCGCGAGCCUGAACCAGCCAAGUUGCGUGAGGGAUGAAGGUUCUAUGGAUCGUAAACCUCUUUUAUAAGGGAAUAAAGUGUGGGACGUGUCCUAUUUUGUAUGUACCUUAUGAAUAAGGAUCGGCUAACUCCGUGCCAGCCUCCGCGGUAAUACGGAGGAUCCGAGCGUUAUCCGAAUUUAUUGGGUUUAAAGGGUGCGUAGGCGGCCGUUUAAGUCAGCGGUGAAAGUCUGUGGCUCAACCAUAGAAUUGCCGUUGAAACUGGGGGGCUUGAGUCGGGUUGAGGGCGGUGGAAUGCGUGGUGUAGCGGUGAAAUGCUUAGAUAUCACGCAGAACACCGAUUGCGAAGGCAGCCUGCCAAGCCAUGACUGACGCUGAGGCACGAAAGCGUGGGGAUCAAACAGGAUUAGAUACCCUAGUAGUC
This 460-nucleotide ribosomal RNA is filed under the name uncultured bacterium. Its description in RNAcentral is "partial 16S ribosomal RNA". It matches the Rfam family "Bacterial small subunit ribosomal RNA", at positions 338 to 795 of the family's 1533-position model. The record is from RNAcentral.